GAUGAACGCUGGCGGCGUGCCUAAUACAUGCAAGUCGAGCGAACGGACGAGGAGCUUGCUUCUCUGAUGUUAGCGGCGGACGGGUGAGUAACACGUGGAUAACCUACCUAUAAGACUGGGAUAACUUCGGGAAACCGUAGCUAAUACCGGAUAAUAUUUUGAACCGCAUGGUUCAAUAGUGAAAGACGGUCUUGCUGUCACUUAUAGAUGGAUCCGCGCUGCAUUAGCUAGUUGGUAAGGUAACGGCUUACCAAGGCAACGAUGCGUAGCCGACCUGAGAGGGUGAUCGGCCACACUGGAACUGAGACACGGUCCAGACUCCUACGGGAGGCAGCAGUAGGGAAUCUUCCGCAAAGGGCGAAAGCCUGGCGGAGCAACGCCGCGUGAGUGAUGAAGGUCUUCGGAUCGUAAAACUCUGUUAUUAGGGAAGAACAUAUGUGUAAGUAACUAUGCACAUCUUGACGGUACCUAAUCAGAAAGCCACGGCUAACUACGUG
This 497-nucleotide ribosomal RNA is filed under the name uncultured bacterium. RNAcentral describes it as "partial 16S ribosomal RNA". It matches the Rfam family "Bacterial small subunit ribosomal RNA", at positions 28 to 507 of the family's 1533-position model. The record is from RNAcentral.